CCUACGGGCGGCAGCAGUGAGGAAUAUUGGUCAAUGGACGAGAGUCUGAACCAGCCAAGUAGCGUGAAGGAUGACUGCCCUAUGGGUUGUAAACUUCUUUUAUAUGGGAAUAAAAUGUUCCACGUGUGGGAGUUUGUAUGUACCAUAUGAAUAAGGAUCGGCUAACUCCGUGCCAGCAGCAGCGGUAAUACGGAGGAUCCGAGCGUUAUCCGGAUUUAUUGGGUUUAAAGGGAGCGUAGUGGGCUGGUUAAGUCAGUUGUGAAAGUUUGCGGCUCAACCGUAAAAUUGCAGUUGAAACUGGGAGUCUUGAGUACAGUAGAGGUGGGCGGAAUUCGUGGUGUAGCGGUGAAAUGCUUAGAUAUCACGAAGAACUCCGAUUGCGAAGGCAGUUCACUGGACUGCAACUGACACUGAGGCUCGAAAGUGUGGGUAUCAAACAGGAUUAGAUACCCGGGUAGUC
Molecule: ribosomal RNA, 460 nt
Filed under: uncultured bacterium
Lineage: Bacteria
Description: partial 16S ribosomal RNA
Rfam family: Bacterial small subunit ribosomal RNA
Source: RNAcentral